GUGCCAGGCAGGGCAGGGCUGGGCUGGGCAGGGCAGGGCAGGGCUGGGCAGGGCAGCACUGGGGCCCUCCGGGUGACGCUGCUGACCAACGUCCCC
Molecule: microRNA precursor, 96 nt
Organism: Ochotona princeps (American pika)
Lineage: Eukaryota; Metazoa; Chordata; Mammalia; Lagomorpha; Ochotonidae
Source: Ensembl